This is a long non-coding RNA of Ctenopharyngodon idella (grass carp), 1477 nucleotides long. RefSeq lists it as uncharacterized. The transcript has 6 exons. The record is from RefSeq and is a predicted model, not a curated record. NCBI's taxonomy places the organism in Eukaryota, Metazoa, Chordata, Actinopteri, Cypriniformes, Xenocyprididae.
GGCAAGCUUUCUUGGUAAAACAGUUAUAUUUUAUCUGUUACAACUGGCUACAUUUGUACCUCUAUGUACUUUUGCAUUAUAUCUGCAUUUGUUUUGUUUUUUUUAGUCUAAACAUUUAUUUAUGAAGGGAUUUUCUUUUAUUGGUAACAAAUGGAUCCAUUAAGUCUCUCUGGAAAAAAGAAUACUAAAUACCUUCAAUGUAAACUAAUAAGCUGUUUAUAAUAUAUUAUAUGAUGUAUGAAGAUUAUCAAUUAUCAAGGUCUCAAGUUCUUCUAGUUACAUCCAGUGGACAAACAUAACUCUAAACAUUAAUAACUACUAGACAUAAUAGUGUUAAACAUGAGGACUACAGGAUUUUUUUUAAUAAUAAUAAUAAUAAUAAUAAUAUAUCCUUUAAAUAUGACUUUGUACAGGUCAAUUUCAAAUUCAAUAACUGGUCUCAAGAAUGUCCCACACAGCACCAGCAGGAGCUGGGACGAAUGCAUCUGUCCCUUUAAAUGUACAGCAGGUGCUGGGAGAUUCUGUACGACUCCAGGGGUUUCUGAAAAGCCAAUCAAAAGCAAUUGGGACUGUCCAUUUAAUGAUAGGUUUGCUGACUUUUCUGUUUGGCAUUGUUUUAACAUUGCAUGGACCAUCUAUUGCUAUCUAUAGUGGAGUGUAUUACUGGGGAUCUCUCAUUUACAUCAUUGCUGGCUCUCUGUGCAUUGCUGCAGAAAACGACUUUAAUUCAGCAUCAAGUGUGUGUUUGAUAAGAGCUUCAUAUGGAAUGAAUAUUGCCAGUGCUGUGACUGCAACGAUUGCCAUCGUUUUCCUUUCAGUGGAUGUGGAUUUAGGAUCAUUUAAGGACAGUUGUAAUGAUGCACUUUUCAAGGGCAUCUCUGGCGUAUUGUUGAUGUUCGCCAUUCUGGAGUUUAUUCUCUCUAUUUCUCUGUCAGUAAUCUCCUGCAAUGCCAAUGAUUGCUGUACUCCUCAGAUAUUUGUCAUCAGCAACUCCUCCAUGCCUCAGCAGUCUGCAGAAAUCCCCUCACAGCGCAGUGACAAAAAGGUGAAUGAAGAGAGCAGAGUCGUGGUGUAGACCUUGCACCGGGAUGUUUGUGUGGGGUGUGCGGCCUCUCCCAAUGAUUUCUGUCCCUUUACUAUACUGUCCUUCCAAUAAAAGUUUACAAUUUAAAGUAUACCAAAAGAGUGACUACAUAAUUUUAUGAAUUGCUGCAUAACUGAAUGGUUUGUUUUGAACAACUGUGAUUAUGUUCCCCAUGAGUAAAGAGUAUACCAAAUUUUGUGUCAAUGAGAUUUAUGGCUUAUUAAACAAAGACAAAAUGUUUUUUUUUGAAAAAGGUGAUGAAACUGACGGAAAUACAUCACUUGAUCUUAUGUUGUACAUUCUCGUUAUAUAAUUUUUGUAAACUUUGAACACAAGAAAGUCACGGACCGCAGCUUUAACGCUUCUUGAGGUGAAAAUUUUGAAUUCAUAACG